RNAcentral lists this unclassified non-coding RNA (218 nucleotides) under uncultured Thelephoraceae. Its description in RNAcentral is "sequence contains ITS2". The record is from RNAcentral. Lineage: Eukaryota; Fungi; Basidiomycota; Agaricomycetes; Thelephorales; Thelephoraceae.
ACACCUCAACUCUCACGGUUCGCCGUGACGAGCUUGGACUUUGGGGGACUUGCUGGCCUACGGUCGGCUCCCCUCAAAUGGAUCAGCUUUCCAGUGUUUGGCGGCGUCACAGGUGUGAUAAAUAUCUACGCUUGUGGUUUUCCACCAGGUAACCUUCAGUGAUGGGGGUUCGCUGGGGCUCAUAAACGUCUCUCCUCGGUGAAGACAGCUUUGUGAAC